AGGCAAGACAGUAAGCAUUGUUAACUUUGACAAACCCUCCUGAUGGCAAGGCCAAUUCAGGCAAGACAGUAUGCAUUGUUAACUUUGACAAACCCUCCCUAUGGCAAAGCCGUUUCAGGCAAGACAGUAAGCAUUGUUAACUUUGACAAACCCUCCCGAUGGCAAAGCCGUUUCAGGCAAGACAGUAAGCAUUGUUAACUUUGACAAACCCUCCCGAUGGCAGGGCCAAACAGGCAAGACAGUAAGCAUUGUUAACUUUGACAAACCCUCCCGAUGGCAAGGCCAAACCAGGCAAGACAGCAAGUCAUGUUAAGAGAGGCACAAACGCUAAAUGAGGGCAAAACAAGGAUCCCAUGAGACCCCAUGCCCACAUCGUUUUCCAUAUCCAGGAUACCAAGCAACGCUCAAUGGGCCACAACAUCAACGCAAGCAUAAUGUUGUGGAUCAAAGAGACCGCUUUGUGGUUCAUCCGAUGCCACAAAAAUGGCACGAGACGAAAUCAACUGUAAUCAACCAAGACAAUACCAACGCUUAGGUACGCAACACAGAAACCCACAAUUGGCCAGGCAAUAGAU
Molecule: unclassified non-coding RNA, 575 nt
Filed under: Bidens micrantha subsp. kalealaha
Lineage: Eukaryota; Viridiplantae; Streptophyta; Magnoliopsida; Asterales; Asteraceae
Description: partial external transcribed spacer
Source: RNAcentral